ACUUUGGGUGAUGGAAAAUCCACCUUGUUCUGGGAGGAUAAAUGGUUGUAUGGCUCCUGCUUACGGGAUCUCGCACCAUUCAUUUAUGACAGAAGUCCUCGGAGGGCGAGAAGGGUUUUGACUAUCUCAGAUGCGCUCGACAACAACAGGUGA
Molecule: ribosomal RNA, 153 nt
Filed under: Triticum aestivum (bread wheat)
Lineage: Eukaryota; Viridiplantae; Streptophyta; Magnoliopsida; Poales; Poaceae
Description: partial small subunit ribosomal RNA
Source: RNAcentral